AAAAGGCCAAAAAACAGAAGACUCUCUCUUUCUCCAUUUCCUCGCACGCGAGGGGAGACUUAUUUUCCACACACUAGUGGAACCAAAACCAUCGUCAUUUGCUGUCAACAUUCUUUGGCUGUUGCUUCAAAUUAUUCCUUUUCUUUUACUUUUCAAUUUUCUUUGCAUAUGAAGUUCUCACUUUACCUCCAGCAACUUUAAUUUGUGCCUCUCUGGGUAUUUGUAUAGCCUUAGUUCGAAGCUUAUUUGCUUGUUUAAAAGCCGCUUUUAGCUAGCUAUAUAUCUACCUCUCUGCACUUACCUGUAUCUGAAGCCAAAUCUUGUUGAGAAAAGAAAGGGAAAAGAAGUAGGUAAACUUCUCAAGGUUAUCUUUGUUUUUGAGAAGCAGCUGCUUAAUUUUUUUUUUCAGCUAUAGUGCUUUAAAUGUUCGAGAUUAACCGGCCGGCUGUUUGGUUUCUUUUUGUAAUAAACUGGGUUUCUGACACUUGAGCAACUGGGUAAGAUUAUACUGAUUAUUCUCUUACUAUUUUUUUUUGUCGAAAUUCUCUUACUACUUCAACGUGCAUCUUUUCUUUGCAUAGUGACAUAACAAGGCUUGACUUUUAUGAUAUAUAUAUGUAUGUAUAAAAUAGCAUCAUUUGUUGUCCGUGACUCCUUAUACGUUAUGUCAUUAGUACUUGUGGCUAUUCUAUGUCCAGGACUAAGUCUUGGGCUUGGCUCUUACUCUGAAUUUUCGUGCAUAAUUAACAUUCUCAAAUCAACUUGGCAUCUUCAGAAACAGACGGUAGCUCAAGUAAGUUACUUCUUGAUUUUUCUGGAAGUCUUUAUUUUGUGGAAGAGUUACGUGAUAAAAACACUGGAAUUGGGUUGCUGUGUGGAUGAUGGUAUGGUAUAGGAAUUAGUUAUUGUUUUGUGGAAGAGUUACAUGAUAAAAACACUGGAAUUAAUUUUUGUGAAAUGAGAAACAAAUUGGGUUGCUGUGUGGAUGAUGGUAUGGUAUAGGAAUUAGUUAUUGUUUUGUGGAAGAGUUACAUGAUAAAAACACUGGAAUUAAUUUUUGUGAAAUGAGAAACA
Molecule: unclassified non-coding RNA, 1074 nt
Filed under: Hevea brasiliensis (rubber tree)
Lineage: Eukaryota; Viridiplantae; Streptophyta; Magnoliopsida; Malpighiales; Euphorbiaceae
Source: RNAcentral